Molecule: small nucleolar RNA, 68 nt
Filed under: Hippocampus comes (tiger tail seahorse)
Lineage: Eukaryota; Metazoa; Chordata; Actinopteri; Syngnathiformes; Syngnathidae
Description: Small nucleolar RNA SNORD30 (ENSHCOG00000000746.1)
Rfam family: Small nucleolar RNA SNORD30
About the family: U30 is a member of the C/D class of snoRNA which contain the C (UGAUGA) and D (CUGA) box motifs.
Source: RNAcentral
GAAAAUGAUGAGACAACACUGGAAUCUCGUUCGUCUGAAUACUGAUGAGAAUCACAAAUCUGACACCA